GUUACUUCUCAGCCUUUUGCUAAGAUCAAGUGUAGUAUCUGUUCUUAUCAGUUUAAUAUCUGAUAUGUCCCCCAGUGGGGGAACUACAUUAGGGGCAGUGAUAGCCUAG
This is a small nuclear RNA of 109 nucleotides. Its record names the gene U2. It matches the Rfam family "U2 spliceosomal RNA". From Rfam's summary of the family: U2 is a small nuclear RNA (snRNA) component of the spliceosome (involved in pre-mRNA splicing). The record is from Ensembl.